Neodiprion fabricii is the source of this 1681-nucleotide long non-coding RNA. RefSeq lists it as uncharacterized. Lineage: Eukaryota; Metazoa; Arthropoda; Insecta; Hymenoptera; Diprionidae. The transcript is spliced from 3 exons. The record is from RefSeq and is a predicted model, not a curated record.
GAUCAAAGAGGCUUGGUUCUGUGUCACUGGGAUAGAAGUGUCUUCCAGUAAUUUGGGCAACGUUGGCGAUGACCAUCCGAAGUGAAAUCCAGUCGCGGUAAAUAGCAGCGAGGCUAAUCGAGCUUGAAAAUGCUUCAUAAAGAUUCCGUGAUCGUUCAACAGGAAUGUUGUCACAUAGGCGAAAUAUUUGCCGUAAAAAAUGACGUUCAUCAGCUCCGUUGGUUUUCAAUUGGAAGUACGACGCCAUACCUACGUUACGAAAAUCACACUUUUCAAUGACGAGGUAUCGGAUAUUACAUUCACGGCGAAACCGCCACAACAUACAUACUUAUUAGAAAUAUGAUGCUGAAAAACAUGGAUCCAAGCAGUAAUGGUCUUCUGCCUAUUCUGUCGGCUAUAAACAAAGGCGCAAACGAGGCAACGAAUUGAAUGAGUCCGAUUACGAUGACGGAAAUGCUGGAAGUUGCACCGGAUCCAGUUUCGUUGAGAAUGAUUGUACUGUACGACAAGACAGCGAGUAUACCGGAUAAUUGUUGACAGGUGAAGAGGACAAUAAGGAGCCCCUGCGAAUCAAUGGAAAGGUCAAGGCGAAUCAGCCAUUGAAGACUCUUCCUGGCGAGUUCUGGUCUAUUUUUCAUGAUGUAAAAAUAUGGGGAUUCCGGUAUCCAGACGAAGGUAGCAAGGGAUACGACUGGAAUCGCUAUCGUUGCGAGUGAAAGUAAGCUGACCCAUGGACCAACGCUGUAGACCAACACCAGCCCCGAGUUGUACAUAACUAUGACCAGCAGACCAAGACCCCCGCGAAUUUUGUCCUCUGCAAUUUCUCCUAUAUACAUAAGGAUGACGACGAAGGCGACUGACCCCGAAGCGCCGAUAACGAACCUUGUAACAAGUAAUGUAGAUCCUCAUUAUACGAAUUCCAAAUUUAGUGGCUUAUCAAACCUUGGAGCCAGUAUGCCUGUUGCAAAGAUCGAUUACAUCGCAGCUUGUACCUGUACCUUGCCACGUAGUACCACCAGCAGUUUCGAGCAAAAGUUAUAAGGACGCCUGAGGCUAGACAUGGAAUCGAUAGAAGUAACAGUAACGUCUUUCUCCCUCAUCUAUCGACCAUCAGGAAACUGCACGGUCCUCCGAUGGCCCCACCGAAUGCCAAAGUGCUAACGAUGCAGGGGACUUCUUUCGAAUUUAUUGGAAAGGACGUAUCUUCCAGUAGUUUAGGCAACGAUGGCGAUGCCCAUCCAAUGUGGAAUCCAGCGGUAAACGACAGGAUUGUGCCUAAUCAAGGAAACGUUUUCAAAGCUUUUUUUUUUAUGUAGGUCAUAAUCUGGCGUAAGUUUUGUUAAUUUUAUAAUUACACAAUAACCUGAAGCGUCGAUCAGACUUUGAGAUAUUUGUGUUAGUUAACUGUGAUCCUAAUUAUGUUAGAGAAAUUUCACUUAAGAAGCUCAUUUGUACUCAAAUUAUAAUGCGUAACAAGUUCGACAAAGUUACCUGACAAAGUCGCCAAAACUUGCGGGCCAAUUAGUUUUAUUUUUUUCAUAGUUCACGCUUUAAAAAAGUUGAGAUCCUCAAAUCCUGCGAACGAUGCGAUCCAGAUGUUGAUUUUUUGGUUGCAUGCGUGAAAUCCAGCCGAAUGUUUUGCUGAUUUUUAAAAAGUUGAUCAAUCAAACCGUUAGCCACU